GUAGGUAUUGCUCAAUGGUAGAGCAAAUACUUAGCAUGCACACGUCCUGGGUUCAAUCCCCAGUACCUUCA
This 71-nucleotide transfer RNA is filed under the name Camelus bactrianus (Bactrian camel). It matches the Rfam family "tRNA". Rfam says of the family: Transfer RNA (tRNA) molecules are approximately 80 nucleotides in length. Lineage: Eukaryota; Metazoa; Chordata; Mammalia; Artiodactyla; Camelidae. RNAcentral also lists the same sequence under 2 other names. The record is from Rfam by way of RNAcentral.